This 500-nucleotide ribosomal RNA is filed under the name Elaphe taeniura (beauty snake). Its description in RNAcentral is "partial 12S ribosomal RNA". It matches the Rfam family "Bacterial small subunit ribosomal RNA", at positions 794 to 1523 of the family's 1533-position model. The record is from RNAcentral. Lineage: Eukaryota; Metazoa; Chordata; Lepidosauria; Squamata; Colubridae.
GCCCAACUAUAACACAACAAUUAAAUAACUUAUUGUUCGCCAAAUAACUACGAGUAAAAACUUAAAAUUUAAAAGACUUGACGGUGCCUCAAACCAACCUAGAGGAGCCUGUCUAAUAACCGAUACCCCACGAUAAACCCGACCCACUCUAGCCUACAGUCUAUAUACCGCCGUCGCCAGCCUACCUUGUGAAAGAAAUAAAGUAAGCCUAAUAGCCCCACACUAAUACGACAGGUCGAGGUGUAACUUAUGAGGGGGAACAAGAUGGGCUACAUUUUCCAACACAGAAAAUACGAAUUAAUCUAUGAAAUAAGAAACUGAAGGCGGAUUUAGCAGUAUGCUGAGAACAAUAUACCCAGCUGAAACCAACGCAAUGAGGUGCGUACACACCGCCCGUCAUCCCUGUUAACCAACUAAAAACCAUAUAUAAACAAAAAUCACUAAUCCUUAAAGCAGGGCAAGUCGUAACAUGGUAAGCGUACUGGAAAGUGUGCUUAGAU